RNAcentral lists this ribosomal RNA (569 nucleotides) under Oryza sativa (Asian cultivated rice). RNAcentral's name for it is "eukaryotic LSU rRNA". The stretch from base 216 to 370 matches the Rfam family "5.8S ribosomal RNA". Lineage: Eukaryota; Viridiplantae; Streptophyta; Magnoliopsida; Poales; Poaceae. The record is from RNAcentral.
AGUAAAAGUUUAAUGAAAGUAAAAGUCGUAACAAGGUCUCCGUUGGGAACCAGCGGAGGGAUCAUUACUGUGUAUACAACUCCCAAACCCCUGUGAACAUACCACUUGUUGCCUCGGCGGAUCAGCCCGUUCCCGGUAAAACGGGACGGCCCGCCAGAGGACCCCUAAACUCUGUUUCUAUACGUAACUUCUGAGUAAAACCAUAAAUAAAUCAAAACUUUCAACAACGGAUCUAUGGGUUAUGGCAUCGAUGAAGAACGCAGCAAAAUGCGAUAAAUAAUGUGAAUUGCAAGAAUUCAGUGAAUCAUCGAAUCUCAGAACGCACAUUGCGCCCGCCAGUAUUCUGGCGGGCAUGCAUGUUCGAGCGUCAUUUCACCCCUCAAGCCCUCGGAUAAGGUGAUGGGGAUCGGCGAGCCCUUGCGCCAAACCGGCCCCGAAAUCUAGUGGCGGUCUCGCUGCAGCCUACACUGCGAAGUAGUAAAACCCUCGCAACGUGGAACGCGGCGCGGCCAAGCCGUUAAACCCCCAACUUCUGAAUGUGACCUCGGAUCAGGCAGAUACCCAAGUUC